GACGAACGCUGGCGGCGUGCUUAACACAUGCAAGUCGAACGGAAAGGCCCGCAUCAUUUUUGUGGUGGGGGUGCUCGAGUGGCGAACGGGUGAGUAACACGUGGGUGAUCUGCCCUGUACUUCGGGAUAAGCUUGGGAAACUGGGUCUAAUACCGGAUAGGACCAUGGUUUAGUGUCUCAUGGUGGAAAGAUUAUUGUUUUGGUGCAGGAUGAGCUCGCGGCCUAUCAGCUUGUUGGUGGGGUAAUGGCCUACCAAGGCGUCGACGGGUAGCCGGCCUGAGAGGGUGGACGGCCACAUUGGGACUGAGAUACGGCCCAGACUCCUACGGGAGGCAGCAGUGGGGAAUAUUGCACAAUGGGCGCAAGCCUGAUGCAGCGACGCCGCGUGGGGGAUGACGGCCUUCGGGUUGUAAACUCCUUUCGUUAGGGACGAAGCCACAUUUUUUGGGUGUGGUGACGGUACCUUUGUUAAGAAGCACCGGCUAACUACGUGCCAGCAGCCGCGGUAAUACGUAGGGUGCGAGCGUUGUCCGGAAUUACUGGGCGUAAAGAGCUCGUAGGUGGUUUGUUGCGUCGUCUGUGAAAUUCCGGGGCUUAACUUCGGGGUGGCAGGCGAUACGGGCAUAACUAGAGUGCUGUAGGGGAGACUGGAAUUCCUGGUGUAGCGGUGGAAUGCGCAGAUAUCAGGAGGAACACCGAUGGCGAAGGCAGGUCUCUGGGCAGUAACUGACGCUGAGGAGCGAAAGCAUGGGGAGCGAACAGGAUUAGAUACCCUGGUAGUCCAUGCUGUAAACGGUGGGCGUUAGGUGUGGGGACCGGUUUGGUUUCUGUGCCGUAGCUAACGCAUUAAGCGCCCCGCCUGGGGAGUACGGCCGCAAGGCUAAAACUCAAAGGAAUUGACGGGGGCCCGCACAAGCGGCGGAGCAUGUGGAUUAAUUCGAUGCAACGCGAAGAACCUUACCUGGGUUUGACAUGCACCAGACGGUUGUAGAGAUACGUACCUCCCUUUGUGGUUGGUGUGCAGGUGGUGCAUGGUUGUCGUCAGCUCGUGUCGUGAGAUGUUGGGUUAAGUCCCGCAACGAGCGCAACCCUUGUCUUAUGUUGCCAGCACUUUGGGUGGGGACUCAUGAGAGACUGCCGGGGUUAACUCGGAGGAAGGUGGGGAUGACGUCAAAUCAUCAUGCCCUUUAUGCCCAGGGCUUCACACAUGCUACAAUGGUUAGUACAACGCGCUGCGAACCUGUGAGGGUGAGCGAAUCGCUGAAAGCUAAUCUCAGUUCGGAUUGGGGUCUGCAACUCGACCCCAUGAAGUCGGAGUCGCUAGUAAUCGCAGAUCAGCAAUGCUGCGGUGAAUACGUUCCCGGGCCU
RNAcentral lists this ribosomal RNA (1368 nucleotides) under uncultured bacterium. Its description in RNAcentral is "bacterial SSU rRNA". It matches the Rfam family "Bacterial small subunit ribosomal RNA", at positions 28 to 1381 of the family's 1533-position model. The record is from RNAcentral.